GAUGAACGCUGACAGAAUGCUUAACACAUGCAAGUCGAUUCGAUUUACCUUCGGGUAUUGAGGAUGGCGGACGGGUGAGUAACGCGUAAGGAACUUGCCUCUUGGUCUGGGACAACUGUUGGAAACGACAGCUAAUACCGGAUAUUAUGAGAUUCUCGCAUGGGAAACUUAUGAAAGCUAUAUGCGCCAAGAGAGAGCCUUGCGUUCCAUUAGCUAGUUGGUGGGGUAACGGCCCACCAAGGCGACGAUGGAUAGCCGGCCUGAGAGGGUGAACGGCCACAAGGGGACUGAGACACGGCCCUUACUCCUACGGGAGGCAGCAGUGGGGAAUAUUGGACAAUGGGCCACAAGCCUGAUCCAGCAAUUCUGUGUGCACGGUGAAGGUCUUCGGAUUGUAAAGUGCUUUCAGUUGGGAAGAAGAAAGUGACGGUACCAACAGAAGAAGCGACGGCUAAAUACGUGCCAGCAGCCGCGGUAAUACGUAUGUCGCAAGCGUUAUCCGGAUUUAUUGGGCGUAAAGCGCGUCUAGGCGGAAAAAUAAGUCUGAUGUUAAAAUGCGGGGCUCAACUCCGUAUUGCGUUGGAAACUGUUUUUCUAGAGUACUGGAGAGGUGGGCGGAACUACAAGUGUAGAGGUGAAAUUCGUAGAUAUUUGUAGGNAAUGCCGAUGGAGAAGUCAGCUCACUGGACAGAUACUGACGCUGAAGCGCGAAAGCNUGGGGAGCAAACAGGAUUAGA
RNAcentral lists this ribosomal RNA (737 nucleotides) under uncultured prokaryote. Its description in RNAcentral is "bacterial SSU rRNA". It matches the Rfam family "Bacterial small subunit ribosomal RNA", at positions 28 to 782 of the family's 1533-position model. The record is from RNAcentral.